UACGAAGGGGGCUAGCGUUGCUCGGAAUCACUGGGCGUAAAGGGUGCGUAGGCGGGUCUUUAAGUCAGGGGGGAAAUCCUGGAGCUCAACUCCAGAACUGCCUUUGAUACUGAAGAUCUUGAGUUCGGGAGAGGUGAGUGGAACUGCGAGUGUAGAGGUGUAAUUCGUAGAUAUUCGCAAGAACACCAGUGGCGAAGGCGGCUCACUGGCCCGAUACUGACGCUGAGGCACGAAAGCGUGGGGAGCAAACAGG
Molecule: ribosomal RNA, 253 nt
Filed under: uncultured bacterium
Lineage: Bacteria
Description: partial 16S ribosomal RNA
Rfam family: Bacterial small subunit ribosomal RNA
Source: RNAcentral